Molecule: ribosomal RNA, 476 nt
Filed under: uncultured bacterium
Lineage: Bacteria
Description: bacterial SSU rRNA
Rfam family: Bacterial small subunit ribosomal RNA
Source: RNAcentral
UGAGGAAUAUUGGACAAUGGGCGGGAGCCUGAUCCAGCCAUGCCGCGUGCAGGAAGACUGCCCUAUGGGUUGUAAACUGCUUUUCUACGGGAAGAAACACCCCUUCGUGAGGGGGCUUGACGGUACCGUACGAAUAAGGAUCGGCUAACUCCGUGCCAGCAGCCGCGGUAAUACGGAGGAUGCGAGCGUUAUCUGGAAUCAUUGGGUUUAAAGGGUCCGUAGGCGGGCGUUUAAGUCAGUGGUGAAAGAACGCGGCUCAACCGUCGAAGUGCCAUUGAUACUGGUCGCCUUGAAUGAUUGUGAAGGGGGUAGAAUAUGUGGUGUAGCGGUGAAAUGAUUAGAUAUCACAUAGAAUACAGAUUGCGAAGGCAGGUCGCUAACGAGGCAUUGACGGUGAUGGACGAAAGAGUGGGGAGGGAACAAGAUUAGAUACCCUGGUAGUCCACGCCGUAAACGAUGGAUACUAGCUGUCCGUC